Molecule: ribosomal RNA, 465 nt
Filed under: Vreelandella stevensii
Lineage: Bacteria; Pseudomonadati; Pseudomonadota; Gammaproteobacteria; Oceanospirillales; Halomonadaceae
Description: partial 16S ribosomal RNA
Rfam family: Bacterial small subunit ribosomal RNA
Source: RNAcentral
CCUACGGGUGGCUGCAGUGGGGAAUAUUGGACAAUGGGGGCAACCCUGAUCCAGCCAUGCCGCGUGUGUGAAGAAGGCCCUCGGGUUGUAAAGCACUUUCAGUGAGGAAGAACGCCUGGUGGUUAAUACCCAUCAGGAAAGACAUCACUCACAGAAGAAGCACCGGCUAACUCCGUGCCAGCAGCCGCGGUAAUACGGAGGGUGCGAGCGUUAAUCGGAAUUACUGGGCGUAAAGCGCGCGUAGGUGGCUUGAUGAGCCGGUUGUGAAAGCCCCGGGCUCAACCUGGGAACGGCAUCCGGAACUGUCAAGCUAGAGUGCAGGAGAGGAAGGUAGAAUUCCCGGUGUAGCGGUGAAAUGCGUAGAGAUCGGGAGGAAUACCAGUGGCGAAGGCGGCCUUCUGGACUGACACUGACACUGAGGUGCGAAAGCGUGGGUAGCAAACAGGAUUAGAUACCCCGGUAGUC